UMRACACAGAUAGUAUGUAACACAUAUACCAUCCGCCAGAGAACUACAAGCGAAAAGCUCGAAACUCCAAGGACUUGGCGGUGCUUCAAAUCAACCUAGAGGAGCCUGUCCUAUAAUCGAUACCCCACGUUUCACCUUACCACUUCUAGCCAACCAGCCUAUAUACCGCCGUCGUCAGCCUACCUUAUGAAAGAAAUAAAGUGAGCAAAAGAGUUAGCAACUAACACGUCAGGUCAAGGUGUAGCACACGAAGCGGCAGAGAUGGGCUACAUUUCUCCAAAGGAGAAAACCACGAACAGUAAACUGAAACACGCACUCGAAGGCGGAUUUAGUAGUAAAAUAAACAAGACUAAUCAUUUUAAACCUGCUCUGAAGCGCGCACACACCGCCCGU
This 393-nucleotide ribosomal RNA is filed under the name Calyptotis scutirostrum. Its description in RNAcentral is "partial 12S ribosomal RNA". It matches the Rfam family "Bacterial small subunit ribosomal RNA", at positions 836 to 1397 of the family's 1533-position model. Lineage: Eukaryota; Metazoa; Chordata; Lepidosauria; Squamata; Scincidae. The record is from RNAcentral.